Molecule: long non-coding RNA, 1680 nt
Organism: Patella vulgata (common limpet)
Lineage: Eukaryota; Metazoa; Mollusca; Gastropoda; Patellidae
Exons: 3
Source: RefSeq, a predicted model, not a curated record
UGUAUCUCCAUUUGGAAAAUGUCUCGUAAUCAAAAAGACAUCCUCUUAUCUUAAAACCAAGAUAAUUGAGGAUAACUGUCCGAACGAUGCUGGGAGUCAAUCGGCUGUUUUCAACUUUAAAAUGGAUUGUUCUGUACGGUGUUCAGAACUCCCAGAUUGUAGGAGAUACAUGACAUGCAUUGAUUCUACUACUAACCGUUUCAACUGUAAAUUAUACAAUAGUGGAGAAGAUUGCUUAGUGCGUGAGGGAACUGGACAAGGGUGUGACUGUUACAGGAAGGAAUACACAUGUGAAGAGGCGGGGUCAUGUAACUGUCCAAUAGGUUAUUAUGGAUCUAACUGCAGUUCUAUUAUUAAAGACUGUAAUGAGGGAAAAACCAGAAAUUCGUAUCCCAGCAACAUACCAAUAGCAUCCUUCAUACAGCCAUCUCCAAAUAUGGUACCAUUUCAAGCCUUCUGUAAUUUCAAGAGCGGACUUACAUAUAUACAAAGGCGCAGUUCGGCUUGUUCAGCCAUCAGUUUCAAUCGAACAUUUGAUGAAUAUGUAAAUGGUUUCGGUAACAGUGAAGCGGAGGUUUGGUUGGGUUUAGACAAAAUUAGAGCCAUCCAGGAAGCGAAUGUUGGGAAUAUUCUAGGAUUAGAAAUAAUGCUAUUACUACAGAACAACCCCAGUGAUCCUUAUAAAAAUGCUUUGUACAGAUCUUUUACUGUUGGUAAUUCUAGCACUAACUAUGCGUUCCAGGCACAAUAUUUAAACUAUGGCGACGCUGGUAAUGCUCUUCUUGAUUUCCCAAAUAUCUACAACAGCCAGUUUUCAACCUAUGACAGAGAUGUUACUAGUUUUGACUGUCCGGCAUCGUUUGGGGGAGGAUGGUGGUAUGCAAAUGAAUCGGCUUGCUGCCAAGCUAAUAUGAAUGGCCCGCAGGUUAAAUGGCUCGAUAAUUUUGGAGGCAAAUUCAUAUAUUAUUCCUUUUUGGGUAUUCGUGUAAUGUAAUGUAACCGUGGUAAUAUAACUGAUGAAAUUACAACUACCUUUUUAAUGUUUUGAUUACUUUUAAACCGUUUUUUACAUCUUAGUAAAGUGACUCUUAAUAUGAAGAACAUAUAACGUAUGCAUGCCAUAGUAUAUGGAUUGUAUUAUUAUUUUUUUAGUAAAACAAAGAAUAACGUUCAUUGCUUAUACUGUAGCACAAAAUGGAAAUUUCUUGGAUUUAUGAUAGGCCGAAAAGCGGUGUCGUGGGGCGACUCACUGCUAGUCCGACAACGGUUGUAUGAACAAUUUAAGCCUCCUAAAGCCACUCUGACACUUGCACGAUCUUCGUUCCCCCAUUUCGGCGUGUCAAUGAUUAAAGUUUUCGGUAACGAGCGCGAGGAGUGUGUUUGGAGAGUGCAGGCGUGCGCGCCAUGUCGUAGAAAGAAUUUUGAGAUUUUCAAAAAUUCGACACGCAUCACUGUUCGAUGCCAUGUGCGUGCCACUUGCAUUAACCAUGUGUGAACACUGCGAAAUCGACGCGAACAGUGCGUGUCAUAGGAAUCCACUACAAGCGCUGACAAACAAAUCUCAACACUAUAAAUUACGCAAUGCCACUACUUGUUUAUGCAUAGGUUAAAGGACAAUAUUUGUGCCAGUCAUUAUCACAUAUGUGAUAGAUCUGGUUAAACACAUUCCAAAUAUAAUUU